UACGAAGGUGGCGAGCGUUGUUCGGAAUCACUGGGCUUAAAGCGCGUGUAGGCGGGUCGGCGCGUCGGCCGCUGAAAUCCCCCGGCUCAACCGGGGAAGGGGCGCCGAGACGGCCGGCCUGGAGGGACGUAGGGGGGGCUGGAACUUCCGGUGGAGCGGUGAAAUGCGUUGAGAUCGGAAGGAACGCCCGUGGCGAAAGCGAGCCCCUGGACGUCUACUGACGCUGAGACGCGAAAGCCAGGGGAGCGAACGGG
This 254-nucleotide ribosomal RNA is filed under the name uncultured bacterium. RNAcentral's name for it is "partial 16S ribosomal RNA". It matches the Rfam family "Bacterial small subunit ribosomal RNA", at positions 524 to 776 of the family's 1533-position model. The record is from RNAcentral.